This 450-nucleotide ribosomal RNA is filed under the name uncultured bacterium. RNAcentral's name for it is "partial 16S ribosomal RNA". It matches the Rfam family "Bacterial small subunit ribosomal RNA", at positions 354 to 796 of the family's 1533-position model. The record is from RNAcentral.
GUGGGGAAUCUUCCGCAAUGGACGAAAGUCUGACGGAGCAACGCCGCGUGAGUGAUGACGGCCUUCGGGUUGUAAAGCUCUGUGAUCGGGGACGAAUGGCUGGUAUGCUAAUACCAUAUCAGAGUGACGGUACCCGAAUAGCAAGCCACGGCUAACUACGUGCCAGCAGCCGCGGUAAUACGUAGGUGGCAAGCGUUGUCCGGAAUUAUUGGGCGUAAAGCGCGCGCAGGCGGCUUCUUAAGUCCAUCUUAAAAGUGCGGGGCUUAACCCCGUGAUGGGAUGGAAACUGGGAGGCUGGAGUAUCGGAGAGGAAAGUGGAAUUCCUAGUGUAGCGGUGAAAUGCGUAGAGAUUAGGAAGAACACCGGUGGCGAAGGCGACUUUCUGGACGACAACUGACGCUGAGGCGCGAAAGCGUGGGGAGCAAACAGGAUUAGAUACCCUUGUAGUCC